CCAAAAACUUCCAGUUAUUCAGUGAAAUCGUUCGCAUAAAUCCGUAAUAAAUGUGCAAAAUGAAGAUUUUAUCCUUUAGGAAUAUGGAUUUUUAAAUUGUGCUUCAAAAAUAAGUAAUUAAAAGAAUGCGGAGCUGCCUGUGUGUGUAUGAGUACAUAAAAGAACUGGAAAUCAUCAGUCUUGUUCUGAAUUUUAUGUGAGAUUUACGUAAUAUUUAUUUUACUGAUAAAUUUACCAUAUGCCUUCGUUGAAUUAUUCAAAUAAAAAUAUUCACUGAAAAGUUUAUACACAAUUAAAGCCAAUUGGCACCACUGCUUCAACGAAAAACAAAAUAAUUAUCUUGGCGUUCGGCUUCAUUCGUCUUUUUCGGGUUUGUUUAUUUUCACGCGCAGCAAGGAAAUUGAAGUGAUUAGAACUUCUUGCGUUGUGGGUUUCACGGUACCGUUUCCUGGGCGCUGCACCGAAUUCGUCAGAAUGCAUCAGACCCGUUGGCUGAUGGGGAUUAGCGGGAUUAGCCGGAAUCGAGAGCUGAUCAUCGACCAGAACCUUAGAAGAACCUUCCUAGGACAGUGCUAGCAGCAGUCAAACGCCGUCCCCUUCCCCCAUGUGUGGUGCGAGCAACACGCAACAGCAGAAUCCUUUCGGGAGACCGAACGCCGUUCUCCCAAAUGUGGUGCGAGUAGCACGGGACAAUGGAAUCAUCUGGGGAGAGUGCUUGCAGCAGCAAAAUUCCGUUCACCUGGUGUGUCCCCAAGUGUGGUGGGAACAAACACGCGACAACAGAAUCCUUCCGGGAGUGUACUACUAGAAGCCGAACGUCGUCUCCCAAUGCAGGAAUAAAAUUGAAAUAAUUGUGAAAACUGCAUACCAUGGGGAUGUCACGGUACCGUUUCCUGAGAGCUGCAACGAAUUCGCUAAAAUGCAUCAAUUAGUUAAUGAUCCGUGGGCAGAUGGGGAUAAAAUAGCCGAGAUCGAGAGCUGAUCAGCCGCAAGAAUGUAUACCGGAGAAUGCUGGCAGCAGCACCCCGAAUGUGGGGCGAGCAGCAUGCGACAGCAGGACCUUUCCAGGAUACUGAUAGCAGCAGCCAAAGGAUAUUCCCAAUAAUGUGUGGUUCGAAAAGAACGUAACAACUGAACCCUUCCAGGCGAGUAGACACUAGCAGAGUUUGUCCUGUAAGUAAUUCAUAGGCUCCAACUAAACUGUAUUAUUUAAACCUGUAUAAAGCAGUAAGACACACUCUCUCUCACACACACACACACACGCACACACACACACACACACACACACACACACACACACACACACACACACACACACACACACACACACACACACACACACACACACACACACACACACACACACAAAUAUGCACACAAACUUGUGAAAUAUUUAAAAAAAAUACUUAUCAUCAAAUCUCAAUCUAUAGCAUUGAUGCAUUAUAUGGUUAAGUUUCAUUUGAGAAUAUUUUUCAUCUAUCUAAUUUAACGAUUAUUUCAAAAGAACAGAAAAUUUGAUCUUAUUUCAAAAGGAAUAAUCUUUGCUUUGUA
Molecule: long non-coding RNA, 1551 nt
Organism: Uranotaenia lowii
Lineage: Eukaryota; Metazoa; Arthropoda; Insecta; Diptera; Culicidae
Exons: 3
Source: RefSeq, a predicted model, not a curated record